AUGAAGCUUGGGGCGGCAUCCAUGGCGAUGUUGUUCAGAGAAGCAAAGAACAGGUUCAGAGAUACGGGAAAAGAGAUAGGAUGCAGAGAAAUGAGAAGGAAAAGGGACGGCCGGAGGUGCUGUCCUGGGGGUGGCGGAGUCCGACGAGGACAAGGUUUGGAGCAGGGCGCCAGGGUACGCUGCUGCUGUUGGCCGGUGAGGGGGAGCACGGGUGGCGUGACGAUGUCGACGGAGGGCAACGGGGUUGAGUGGACGCGCACACGGGAGGAGAGGAGGAAGGCGACGACGAUGUUGUUGUUGCUGUCGCCGCCGGCAGCAAAGCUCCGGCGCGACAGAGGCCAUGGGGCGCGGGAGGAGCUUGGGCGCGUUGGGGAAGGUCCUGCUGGAGGUGGUCGACGGUGA
RNAcentral lists this ribosomal RNA (402 nucleotides) under Triticum aestivum (bread wheat). RNAcentral describes it as "partial small subunit ribosomal RNA". The record is from RNAcentral. Lineage: Eukaryota; Viridiplantae; Streptophyta; Magnoliopsida; Poales; Poaceae.